UNCCCUGCAUCGGAUCUGGCGAGGCCCACCCUGCCCUGCAUCGGAUCUGACACGGCCACCUCCAACCUUCUUCCUCCCCACCCAUCACCAAGCGACUGGGCCUCCUACCACCUUCCUCUGUGGCCGGAGUACAUCAUCUGUGCUGGUGGUCUCCCCACAUGGGAGAACACCUACUACUUGGGUGAGAAGGGGGAUGCCAAUAGACGGGCAACUCCAUCGGAUCUGAUGCAUGGAAACAAAACAUCGUCAUCACGUCCACGUCCCAGUGCACUCCACAGUCUCCCCGGCUGAGCACCGAGGCAUGCCCGAGAAAAGCGAGAAGAUAAACAUGUGAGGUCACGAGGAGUCCUCCUUGAUCCCACUCCUUUCUUCGAUCGUCAACGGGUUCUCUGGCUUAUGUGGUAGGGCACCGGCCAUCGUAUCUCACCUCGACCCCAUGCGCCCUCCCCACUCAUUUCUUCUGGCCUUCUUGUCGAAACGGGCUUAACCUCGUGUCGACAAGGGUUUUCUUUUCUCUGAAGAAAAGAGGGGGAUCAAAAGGAGGUUCGUGUUUCUUCAGAGGUUCGGUUUUCAGACUCUCGUUUCAUCCUUUUCCUUUCCUAAUUUUGAUUGCUGGGGUUUUAUGAUUUCCCCGUGUUUGAUUGGUGCCCUGUAAUUACAAGAAAAUAAAGUUUUCUUGAUUUGAGCCAACAAGUUUCAGAAAAGGAGAAGAUCCUGAGAUUGCUCAUUGUUUCUGCUUAAUCUCGUGGUAGCAUUUCUCCCCAAGGCUGGUUGCUUGACUACGUUUCAUAAAUAUUUUUCAUGUGCAGCUCGGUGACGCGCCAUGUGCAGUUUGCUCCUAGUCACCGCGCAUGUAUGCAAUACCACUUGCGCGUCUAUGGCGUGUCCAAGAAGUACAUCGAAGGGGCAUUCGAUGGUGAGCUGCUCCCUCUCAACGGCAAUAACAAAUGUUGUUUACCCACGCGGGUGAAGUUUGCCCCGGUUCUCAAUGGGGUUCGGUUGCCCUGGUGUUGAAGUGCGCAUGGAUUUUUUCUUAUCCUCGGGAGCAUGUCGUGGACGUGCAGCUCGCGGUGUACUAGAAAAAAGAAUGAAAAUUUUCUUUUUUGAAGUUUCACUUUGUUCUUGAAUGUGUGGGGAAAAUGUAUAUAGCGUUUGCACGCGUUUUUGAAUGUCUGCAUGUGUUUUGUUACGACACCAUUUUCGCUCUAGUUUUUAAACCGUUAGUCGGAAUGAGGCGUAUAAUAUACCAUUGGAUUGUUACGGAAAAUUCUCAGCUUCAUCAUGUUGAACACUUUUCGAGAUUACUCGCGGUUUGAGAGGAGUUUCAAAAAUAGUGGGUGCAUAACGGGCUGUAGGGAGCGUAUUUUUGCCCAUUUUUUUUUCCUAAACCGCUCGUUGGAAUGAAGCAAAUGAUAUGGCCUUGGAAAUACAUUGUCGAGAUGCAUCUUUUUCAUGUAGAUUACUCUCUCUAAUUUCUUAUUAUUUGAGAGUAAUUCCAAAUUUACUAAAAAAAUGGAAUUAUGUUUUUCAAAAUUUUCGAUUUUUUCGGUACGUUUUUCGCUGCAGUUUUUAAACCGUUCGUCGAAACGAGGCAUAUGAUACAUCAUUGAAAAUCUGUCAAAUAGGUUCACCUUUCAUAUGUUGACCAUUUGUUGAGAUUCCUCGUGGUUUUAAAUGAAUUUUGAAACGGUGUGGCUACCUACAAGUGGCAGCAACCGUAUUUUCGUAUUUUUUUCAAAUCGCUUGUCGGAACAAUGCAAAUGAUACUGCGUCGGAAAGAUAUCGACAAGCCACAUGUUUUUCCUGUACAACACUCUC
RNAcentral lists this long non-coding RNA (1818 nucleotides) under Hordeum vulgare. RNAcentral describes it as "long non-coding RNA (HVUL_LNC018667)". The record is from RNAcentral. Lineage: Eukaryota; Viridiplantae; Streptophyta; Magnoliopsida; Poales; Poaceae.